This 782-nucleotide long non-coding RNA is filed under the name Helianthus annuus (common sunflower). RNAcentral describes it as "hypothetical non coding rna". The record is from RNAcentral. Lineage: Eukaryota; Viridiplantae; Streptophyta; Magnoliopsida; Asterales; Asteraceae.
AAUGUUUUUCCGAAAGAGUGAGAUUCGGAUGAAGGAAGGUAAGCGUGGGGCUCUCAGCGAUUGGAGGCCCGGUGUAAAGAACGAACUCGGAAGAGCAUCUUGAUGGAGUAGAACACACAGAUAGAAUGCUACGAUCGUUAUUAUAUAUUCAUAAAUUUUGUAUGAUGUCAUCAUUUACUAAUGUGUUAGUUGUAUAUGGUGACCGCAGGCUAUUCGGAUCAUUAUAUUCAUCAUGAGGAAGAAGAGCAUGAGGAUCGAGUUGAAGAUCAUGGACUGUACGGAAAAGUUGUCACGUGGGUUGUAUUCAUAUGUUAUAAAUGUUACUUUAACUAAGGAUGAACGAUGUACAUAGUAUAGAAGUCGUAUAAAUCGGUUUUCAAGUAUGUUAGAACAGUUAUAAAGUAAGAAAUUUUAAGACUCGUAUUUCCGCUGCGUCUUUUUUAAGGUUAAACGUUUUUGGGCGUAACAAGUUGGUAUCAGAGCCCUGGUUUGAGAGAAUCAAGUACAAGAGGAUAGGUACUUGAACUCGAACCUGUGUGCUCUUAUGACAAGAAACCCGUACAAUCCAAGACUCGAACAAGAUCUAAAAGUAGAAGCAAAGGUAAGUAUGUGCUUAAGUAUGUAAUGGAAGAUAACUAACUAUAUGUUAUGUGUAAGGUAAGCAUGGUUGCUUGGAAAGAAUGAUUUGUGGAUGCGGUCUAGCACCGACGCCAAGGUAUGUAAUUUGACAUAUUGACCCAAGUACAUAUGUUUAAUAUAUGUAAGUACAUGUGAUGGUAAAA